GAGGAGAAAGAUUUUGCUUGAUUGUUGACUUGUUAUUAUGCCUUUACUAAACCAGCAAUGCUCCUCAGGGUCCUCAAAAUCAUUGAUUCUUCUACACAGACUGCCAAGAACUGAAUGUUCUUUCGAAAUGUCUUCCUUCCAAGUCAUCCAGAAAAGGCUAUGAAAGGCAGAAGAGGAUUGGACCAAGCCAAUCAACAGCAUCCAGCUGGGAAAUGAGCGAACAUUUCCAGGGUCACAAAGGAUGGCUGGAACUGGGAGGUUGCCACUGAGUUUGCUGAUGGACAUAGAUAGGCUUCCACUUAACCCAGAACUGGACUUCUAGAUGACAUGCUUGGUGCCUGUGGGAAACUCUGGGAGGCUUGGAGACAUCUAAAUGCUUUUUUUCUGAAGAAGACAGUUUGAAAUGGAGCUUUUUGUUAAAGUCUCUAUCCCAUUAAACAUUAAAUCAGUUGUUGAACCAGAAUGCAUUUACUUGUAUGUAUGAAUGCAUCCGUACUUCUAACACAUGGGUAAUCAAAUACUUAAAUUUGCUUUAAAAUUCCCAUUAU
Talpa occidentalis (Iberian mole) is the source of this 548-nucleotide long non-coding RNA. RefSeq lists it as uncharacterized. The transcript is spliced from 3 exons. The record is from RefSeq and is a predicted model, not a curated record. NCBI's taxonomy places the organism in Eukaryota, Metazoa, Chordata, Mammalia, Eulipotyphla, Talpidae.